GCACUUGUUUCUAUCCAUUGGAAGACCCACUAUCAACGUAUAUUUACGAGUAAAUAUACGUUGAUAGUGGGUCUUCCAAUGGAUAGAAACAAGUGC
Molecule: small RNA, 96 nt
Filed under: Mytilus galloprovincialis (Mediterranean mussel)
Lineage: Eukaryota; Metazoa; Mollusca; Bivalvia; Mytilida; Mytilidae
Source: RNAcentral